Molecule: long non-coding RNA, 1025 nt
Filed under: Homo sapiens (human)
Lineage: Eukaryota; Metazoa; Chordata; Mammalia; Primates; Hominidae
Description: novel transcript
Source: RNAcentral
UGCUAGAAAUAGAUGGAGACAGUAACACAGUCAGAUCCUUGGCCAAACAACGCGGAUUGCAGUUCAUUUCAAAGUUCCUAAUUCUCAACUCAUUUCAAAGUUUGACGGAAAGUGAUCAAGAAGCAUAAGAUCUUCAGAUAAGUCUAGAAGAUAGAGCACCCUAUAUGUCCACUGAAGGAUCUUGGGCAAGGUUUUGGUAUCAGGAUGAUGCUGGCAUCAUAAAAUGAGUAUUUUUCUUCAGACUUCAGACUGCUGUGCUGGAAGCAAGAAUUUCAAGCAUUGGAUCUUAGCUUGCUGGGCUCCAUAGGGGUGGGAUCCACUGAGCUAGACCACUUGGCUCCCUGGCUUCAGCCCCCUUCCAGAUGUCCUUGGCGUGUACACCCUGUGGAAUCUGGUUCAUCUUCAAUCUGUCAGAAGGCAUCAGAGGUGGUUUUGACUCCUUAUGUCUUGGACCUGUGCACAAAAAGUGUAAAAUGGAUGGAACAUCAGACAGCUCAUUAUAGAGACAAGUAAGCUCCAGUUCCAAAGUUGGUUGACAGAACAAGUCAUGACCUUGUGUGGAGGAAAAUGAGAUCCCGAGUGAAGUCUACAAUGUCAUUGACUCUGAAGAAGGACUCAGAGACCCAUUGGUGUUUAAUGACCCUUACUGGCCUAUGCAAUGGAAACUGGUAUGAUCUUCAGAAAUAGAUGGUUCUUUGGCAGUGUUAAGAAAUAUUAUUUUUGUCAUGUUCUAAUGCAGUAGAUAGGCACUUUUAUGCACUGCCUGCUUUUAUCUAUUGGUUUUGCAGAGAGAGACUUAGCAAACUUUUGAUGAAAUAUUACUGCCAUCUUAUUAAUGAACACUAAUCCUUUUAAUUUGAUUACAUCCUUAGGGUUUGAUUUAAUCUAUAAAAGACACCAGUAAAAACCCCAAGAUAUUUAAAUUUGGUGUGUGUAAACAGACUCAUUACAUAGAAAUGUUGUUGCCAUUCAGGCUUGAAGUUUUUGUUCUUGCAUAACUUAGAAUAUAUUCUAUAUUACAUCAA